Molecule: non-coding RNA, 82 nt
Filed under: unclassified sequences
Description: S15-Methanomicrobia ribosomal protein leader
Rfam family: S15-Methanomicrobia ribosomal protein leader
Source: RNAcentral
AGCACUUUUAAUAAAUGUGCUGGCAGAUGUAAGUCCGACGUGCGAUACAAACGCAUGGCCUCAAACAUGGCUUUGGGAUUAC